AAGCUCGAUUAUGGCUCAGAUUGAACGCUGGCGGGAUGUUUUACACAUGCAAGUCGAACGGCAGCACGGACUUCGGUCUGGUGGCGAGUGGCGAACGGGCAGUAAUGUACUGGAACGCGCCUAGUAGCGGGAUGAGAAAUUCAUGAAAGCGCUAAUACCGCGCAUAACGCCCUUCGGGGGAAAGUAAUCUUCGUCCGGCACCAGCAGAGCGGCCGAUAACGUGAUUGGCUCAGUUAUAAGAAUCGUCACCAAUACGACGACUGUGGUUGGUUUUGAGGAGACGUCUUCGUACCCAACUGACCGAGACCACGGCCCAGACUCCCACGGAUAGCGCAGAAUUUGACAAUACAAAACCAUCUGCCAUCCAUGUGCGGAUGAAAGGCCUUUCAAUAAAACACUUUUGGCAGAAGAACGGCACGGAUAUCCCUGCAGCCUGGCGCACUGCAGAAAUAAAGCCUGGCUAACGCCGCGAGCGCGCAAGACGCAGGGCAAGAAUCGAACAUUGGGCGGCGUAGGCGUUCGGAAGAAGGCGAAACCCGUAGCUUAACUUAACUCGCGAUUUUAACCCAUCGAGCUAGAGUACCGGAGGAUAAUUCCGCGCAGCAGCGGAAUGCAGAUAUGCGGAGAGGAACACCGGAUGGCGAAGGCAGCCUCCUGGGAUAACACUGACGCUCAUGCACGAAAGCGUGGGGAGCAAACAGAUUAGAUACCCUGUAUUCACGCCCUAAACGAUGUCAACUAGCUGUUGGGGCCUCGGGCCUUAUAGCGCAGCUAACGCGUGAAGUUGACCGCCUGGGGAGUACGGGGUCGCAAGACAAAACUCAAAGGAAUUGGACUGGGACCCGCACAAGCGGUGGAUGAUGUACUACACCUGGAUGCAACGCGAAAACCUUACCUACCUCGAUAUGUCUGGAAUCCCGAAGAGAUUUGGGAGUGCCUGCAAGAGAACCGGAACACAGGUGCUGCAUGGCUGCCGCCAGCUUCAGCAUUGAGAUGCUGCUGAGUCCCGCAACGAUGGUGCAACCCGACAAUAGUUGCCAGCGAAAGGGCACCUUAAUGAGACUGCCGGUGACAAACCGGAGGAAGGGGAUGACGUCAGUCUCAUGGCUCUUAGCGUGGGUAGGGCUUUCACACGUCAUACAAUGGUCGGGACAGAGGGCUGCCAACCCGCGAGGGGGAGCCAACCUGCGAAACCCGAUCGUAGUCCGGAUCGCAGUCUGCAACUCGACUGCGUGAAGUCGGAAUCGCUAGUAAUCGCGGAUCAGCAUGUCGCGGUGAAUACGUUCCCGGGUCUUGUACACACCGCCCGUCACACCGCGGAGUGGGUUUUACCAGAAGUGGUUAGCCUAACCGUAAGGAGGGCGAUUACCACGGUAGGAUUCACACUGGGUGGUCAAAUAAGGUAACUCGAGCAUACCUUAUU
Molecule: ribosomal RNA, 1423 nt
Filed under: uncultured Bordetella sp.
Lineage: Bacteria; Pseudomonadati; Pseudomonadota; Betaproteobacteria; Burkholderiales; Alcaligenaceae
Description: partial 16S-23S ribosomal RNA intergenic spacer
Rfam family: Bacterial small subunit ribosomal RNA
Source: RNAcentral